This is a non-coding RNA of Anolis sagrei ordinatus, 705 nucleotides long. The record is from RefSeq and is a predicted model, not a curated record. NCBI's taxonomy places the organism in Eukaryota, Metazoa, Chordata, Lepidosauria, Squamata, Anolidae.
CUCGUUCCCCCCUCCCCUCCGGAAUUCUGAGAAGUAAUUUGCAAAUUCGGGUGGCACUAAAAAAAAGGGGGAAAGAAGGGGAAUAUAUCAGUUUUUAAGGUUGGGGAAAAUGGGAAUGCAUUGUAUAUGCAAUAGCCUUGGAGAAAAUAGAAGUAUAGAUAGAUAUAUUUGCAAAAAAUAAUAGAUAUGGAUAAAUAGAAGGGAAUGCAAUAGGUUGGUGCAAUUUUGCAAUUUUUUUAAAAAAAUAUAUUUUGUUGUGUUGUGUUGUGUUGUGUUGGUGGAUUGACACAGCAAAGAAGCUCAAAGGCAAUCUGGAUGAAUAAUCUGCAAGGAGAAAUAGAAGGGAAUGCAAAAGGGAAAACCAGCUGAUCCCCAACCCAAAUUUCAUCUAUGCUGAUGAUCGUGCCAUCACCGCUCAAGCAGGGAGCUUUGAUAUGGUAGAACAGAAGCUCUCCGAAGCACUAGGUGCUCUUACUGCCUAUUACAGGGAAAACCAGCUGAUCCCUAACUCAUCUAAAACACAGACAUUCACCUUAAGAACAGACAAGCAUCCCGAGCUCUGAGGAUCACCUGGGAAGGAAUCCCACUGGAGCAUUACAGCGCACCCAAAUACCUGGGAGUCACUCUGGACUGUGCUCUGACCUACAAGAAGCACUGCCUGAACAUCAAGCAAAAAGUGGGUGCUAGAAACAAUAUCAUACGAAA